UGUUCCCUGGGUUGCACCCAACUUCCCACCAGCUUCACGAGAUGAGACACAGAUUGCAAGUCAGUCGGAGCCCAUGGAAGUUGAAAUGAUGGACACAGAUGAUAACAGAUUCAAUGGGGCGGAAGUGUCUGGGUUCAGUGGAACGAUGAUGGAAGGGUCGAGUGGAACGAUGAUGGAAGGAUCGAGUGGGUUACACCACUGGCAUCAGCAACAGCAACUACAUUGGAUGGAGCCACAACUCCUCCAGAACAGUUAUACUCCCGUCACUUGGUAACUAACAAGUUCAACAACUUUGGUUGAGCCGUGCUUUCGUACUUU
RNAcentral lists this long non-coding RNA (318 nucleotides) under Malus domestica (apple). RNAcentral describes it as "long non-coding RNA (MDOM_LNC007400)". Lineage: Eukaryota; Viridiplantae; Streptophyta; Magnoliopsida; Rosales; Rosaceae. The record is from RNAcentral.